UGUAAUGUUGGGUUAGUCCGCACGAGCGCACCCUUAUCCUUAUUUGCCAGCGCGUUAUGGCGGGAACUUUAAGGAGACUGCCGGUGAUAAACCGGAGGAAGGUGGGGACGACGUCAAGUCAUCAUGGCCCUUACGGGAUGGGCUACACACGUGCUACAAUGGCAGGUACAGAGGGCAGCAAUACCGCGAGGUGGAGCGAAUCCCACAAAGCUUGUCGUAGUCCGGAUUGGAGUCUGCAACUCGACUCCAUGAAGUCGGAAUCGCUAGUAAUCGUAGAUCAGAAUGCUACGGUGAAUACGUUCCCGGGCCUUGUACACACCGCCCGUCACACCAUGGGAGUGGGAUGCAAAAGAAGUGGCUAGUUUAACCUUUCGGGGAGGACGGUCACCACUUUGUGUUUCAUGACUGGGGUGAAGUCGUAACAAGGUAACCCUAGGGGAACCUGGGGUUGGAUCACCUCCUUAUCUU
RNAcentral lists this ribosomal RNA (468 nucleotides) under uncultured Colwelliaceae bacterium. RNAcentral describes it as "bacterial SSU rRNA". It matches the Rfam family "Bacterial small subunit ribosomal RNA", at positions 1068 to 1533 of the family's 1533-position model. Lineage: Bacteria; Pseudomonadati; Pseudomonadota; Gammaproteobacteria; Alteromonadales; Colwelliaceae. The record is from RNAcentral.